Molecule: long non-coding RNA, 329 nt
Organism: Lycium ferocissimum
Lineage: Eukaryota; Viridiplantae; Streptophyta; Magnoliopsida; Solanales; Solanaceae
Exons: 2
Source: RefSeq, a predicted model, not a curated record
GAAUGAUGCAAGCCGAGUUGCCUCAACGACAUUUUGAGGACCGUCCUGGGGAGUCCAAGUGGGGAUGAUAGCAUGGGAUGACGGAUUGGAGAUGGAUGAACAGCGAAGUGGAAAAAUGAGUGAAGGGUGGCUAUGAUUACAACAGAGGCUACUUCAUAAAUUCAAGACUUUCAUCUUUUCUUAAGGAAGACUAGCCAAACAAGGCCCUUACUUCAUUAAGGGCAGUUAUGUAAUGGCGUAGUUGUCUUCCUUAGUUUUCUAGAGUUAAUUCCCUAGAUUAUCACCCAAGUUUGGGAACUUGCCUUCAAAUAUCAUCUUUGUUUCUUUUA